Microcebus murinus (gray mouse lemur) is the source of this 1544-nucleotide non-coding RNA. NCBI's taxonomy places the organism in Eukaryota, Metazoa, Chordata, Mammalia, Primates, Cheirogaleidae. The record is from RefSeq and is a predicted model, not a curated record.
AGCGAGGACAUCCCUCCUGCUCCUCAUGGCGCAGGCCCGGGAGGGAGGAGGGCAUCCUGCCAGCCCAGCGCAUCAACUUUCCUCUGACAAAGGUCAGCCUGCCCGGAAUAAGGAAAUACCCGCAGCCGGGUAAGGUAAAUCCAAACCUGAAAAUACAGACACUGAGCAUUUCAGUCAACACGGCCUGCAGUGUCCUUGCAGAGCACUGUUUAUGAGGCAAUAAACCAUAAUGACUCUAUGUUGGAACCCACAAGAUCUCCUUGAAGGUUUAGGACAGAUACUGCUAGUUCAGGCUCCAGGAGGCCUGGAAGGUGAGGCUGGGGCGGCUCCUUGGCCUUUGCCUCAAAGUUGCCGGUUUCCCCUAAAUGGGGCGCACCAGCCCCUGGAGGGGCUGCCUUGAGAGCAUACAUUCUAGCUGGGGAGAUUAAAACAAAGCCAUCUAUGCAGCAGAGAAUGAGAGGCCCGGGAAGGACACGCAGCAGGGUUAGGUGUGGCAUGUCUGAGGAAGGAAGGGGCCACUCAGCGCAGUUACCAAAAUGGUGACCACGAAGGGACCUAGGAAGAGCCCUAGUUUCCCCCAGCGUGAUUGGAGGUCCACAAACCAGCGUCUGUAGGAACCCAUUGAUAGCUCAGUUGUCUCCCCAACCUUGCUGGGAGAAACUCAGGUAAGCUGGGAUCCAAGAUCUCCUGCUUUUAAAACAAAGAUCUCAGAGAUUUUAUUUCUCUCCACCCCUUUCCUUCAUUUCUCCCCAGUUCUGGUCCCCUCCAUUCCAGACUCCAGAGGGAAUGUUUUUAUAGGUCCCAAGUUUGGGGUGGGGGGUUCCUUGUCAGACUCAGCCUGUCCAUAAGGGUUUAUGAAGACACUCUCAUAAGGUAAGCACAGUUAUAAAAACCUUAGUUUUAAGGAAAUGGUCUCCUAUCCACUGCCAUCACAGACACUAGUGACUAAUGUGCUUUAAAAAACUAUAAAAAAUUCUUAUAAAUGUUUGACAUCUAACCCAAAAUUAUUUAAAGCUUUCCUGGCCACAAUAAAAUCUUAGGAGACCUUUAGUUUAUCUGCACUCUCAGUUAAAACAAAGAGGUUAUCAAACCUUCCAAAACAAUGAAGAUAAUGCUAUAAUUGGGUUGCAAGUUUUCCAAAUGGGAUCAAGAGUCUCUGAUGGCUUCCCUUAAUGACUGCAAGUUAAAAAAAACUCACCAAAAUGGUGCAAGUGAAAUAUUUAGAGUUUACUCUUUCCCUCUUUCUUACCUCUUCUUUCCAUCUCUGCUCCUAAACAAUUGGUUUUUUUCUUCCCAACUAGUUUUUUUUUUUAAUUGGUCCAAAUGUUAACCUUUGUUUUUCUUCUUCUGUUUGAAAAGCUCCUAUGAUACCAGCUCCUGGAAUGGGACACAGCUGCCUAACCAAACUUAUUUAUUCACAGAACUACAAAAUUGACUCAAGAAGGUAUGGGAAGAUAUGUUUAAAUUUGGGUUUUUUUUUUCCUCAUUAUCCCAAUUUGGGUUUUUUCCCCACUCACUCUUUUAUCUAUCUCUAACAAUCUCUA